GUGGGGAAUAUUGGACAAUGGGCGAAAGCCUGAUCCAGCCAUGCCGCGUGUGUGAAGAAGGUCUUCGGAUUGUAAAGCACUUUAAGUUGGGAGGAAGGGCAGUAAGUUAAUACCUUGCUGUUUUGACGUUACCGACAGAAUAAGCACCGGCUAACUUCGUGCCAGCAGCCGCGGUAAUACGAAGGGUGCAAGCGGUAAUCGGAAUUACUGGGCGUAAAGCGCGCGUAGGUGGUUUUGUAAGUUGGAGGUGAAAUCCCCGGGCUCAACCUGGGAACUGCCUCCAAAACUGCAUGACUAGAGUACGGUAGAGGGUAGUGGAAUUUCCUGUGUAGCGGUGAAAUGCGUAGAUAUAGGAAGGAACACCAGUGGCGAAGGCGACUACCUGGACUGAUACUGACACUGAGGUGCGAAAGCGUGGGGAGCAAACAGGAUUAGAAACCCCUGUAGUCC
RNAcentral lists this ribosomal RNA (450 nucleotides) under uncultured bacterium. Its description in RNAcentral is "bacterial SSU rRNA". It matches the Rfam family "Bacterial small subunit ribosomal RNA", at positions 354 to 796 of the family's 1533-position model. The record is from RNAcentral.